CAGAAACCCUCUGGCUGCACAUCCGGGCCCUGGGCCAAUGGACCAACAGGCUCUACGAGUACUUCCAGCAGCUGGAAUCGCACGGCCCGGAGCCGAAUCCGCCCGGGAAGAGCCGGGAACAGGAAGGAUCCGUGGCCUCGGGCAGGGACGGAGCCGUGGAGCUGACGGCAUUCCGAGCCUCCGGAGCCGCUUUUCCGGGAAAGGACCCGGAGCAGGGGGGCUCCGGGCCUGGGGAGAGCCGGCGCAGCUGCAGCGUCAAG
Long non-coding RNA from Hirundo rustica (Barn swallow), 260 nucleotides. RefSeq lists it as uncharacterized. NCBI's taxonomy places the organism in Eukaryota, Metazoa, Chordata, Aves, Passeriformes, Hirundinidae. The record is from RefSeq and is a predicted model, not a curated record. The transcript is spliced from 3 exons.